CUGAGCGGCGGACGGGUGAGUAACGCGUGGGUAACCUGCUCAUACAGGGGGAUAACAGUUGGAAACGGCUGCUAAUACCGCAUAAGCGCACAGUACCGCAUGGUACGGUGUGAAAAACUCCGGUGGUAUGAGAUGGACCCGCGUCUGAUUAGGUAGUUGGUGGGGUAACGGCCUACCAAGCCGACGAUCAGUAGCCGACCUGAGAGGGUGACCGGCCACAUUGGGACUGAGACACGGCCCAA
RNAcentral lists this ribosomal RNA (242 nucleotides) under uncultured bacterium. RNAcentral's name for it is "partial 16S ribosomal RNA". It matches the Rfam family "Bacterial small subunit ribosomal RNA", at positions 91 to 334 of the family's 1533-position model. The record is from RNAcentral.